UACGGAGGGGGCUAGCGUUGUUCGGAAUUACUGGGCGUAAAGCGCACGUAGGCGGCUUUGUAAGUUAGAGGUGAAAGCCCGGGGCUCAACUCCGGAAUUGCCUUUAAGACUGCAUCGCUCGAAUUGUGGAGAGGUAAGUGGAAUUCCGAGUGUAGAGGUGAAAUUCGUAGAUAUUCGGAAGAACACCAGUGGCGAAGGCGACUUACUGGACACAUACUGACGCUGAGGUGCGAAAGCGUGGGGAGCAAACAGG
RNAcentral lists this ribosomal RNA (253 nucleotides) under uncultured bacterium. RNAcentral describes it as "partial 16S ribosomal RNA". It matches the Rfam family "Bacterial small subunit ribosomal RNA", at positions 524 to 776 of the family's 1533-position model. The record is from RNAcentral.